Molecule: transfer RNA, 73 nt
Filed under: Actinomycetes bacterium
Lineage: Bacteria; Bacillati; Actinomycetota; Actinomycetes
Also listed under: 2 other names
Description: tRNA-Lys
Rfam family: tRNA
About the family: Transfer RNA (tRNA) molecules are approximately 80 nucleotides in length. Their secondary structure includes four short double-helical elements and three loops (D, anti-codon, and T loops).
Source: RNAcentral
GCGCCCCUAGCUCAUCUGGUUAGAGCACCGGACUUUUAAUCCGGCGGGCUGGGUUCGAGUCCCAGGGGGCGCA